Molecule: ribosomal RNA, 1447 nt
Filed under: metagenome
Description: bacterial LSU rRNA
Rfam family: Bacterial large subunit ribosomal RNA
Source: RNAcentral
UUGAUGGGUAGGGGAGCGUCGUGCAGCCGGCGAAGCAGCAGAGUGAUCUAGUUGUGGAGGCUGUGCGAGUGAGAAUGCAGGCAUGAGUAGCGAAUCGAGGGUGAGAAACCCUCGCGCCGAAUGACCAAGGGUUCCUGGGGCAGGCUAAUCCGCCCAGGGUAAGUCGGGACCUAAGGCGAGGCCGACAGGCGUAGUCGAUGGACAACGGGUUGAUAUUCCCGUACCCGCUUCAAUGCGCCCAUAUCGAACCUCGUGAUGCUAAGAGUCCUUAAGUCCUCUGAUGUCCUUCGGGACUAGGGGUGAGGCUGAACGCUCGAUCCGAUCGGGUAGUAGGUAAGCGAUGGGGUGACGCAGGAAGGUAGUCCAGCCCAGGCGAUGGUUGUCCUGGGGUAAGCAUGUAGGGCGUGUCGUAGGUAAAUCCGCGGCAUUUAAGCCUGAGAUGUGAUGCCGAGCCGAUUGUGGUGAAGUGGAUGAUCCUAUGCUGCCGAGAAAAGCCUCUAGUGAGUGUUGUGGCGGCCCGUACCCUAAACCGACUCAGGAGGUCAGGUAGAGAAUACCAAGGCGAUCGGGUGAACUGUGGUUAAGGAACUCGGCAAAUUGCCCCCGUAACUUCGGGAGAAGGGGGACCUCUGUUGGUGAUGGGCUUUACGCCUGGAGCUGGUGGGGGUCGCAGUGGCCAGGGGGAAGCGACUGUUUACUAAAAACACAGGUCCGUGCGAAGUCGUAAGACGAUGUAUACGGACUGACGCCUGCCCGGUGCCGGAACGUUAAGGGGACCGCUUAGCCGACGUGAGUUGGCGAAGGUGAGAACUUAAGCGCCGGUAAACGGCGGUGGUAACUAGAACCAUCCUAAGGUAGCGAAAUUCCUUGUCGGGUAAGUUCCGACCUGCACGAAUGGCGUAACGACUUCCCCGCUGUCUCAACCGCAGACCCGGCGAAAUUGCACUACGAGUAAAGAUGCUCGUUUCGCGCAGCAGGACGGAAAGACCCCGGGACCUUCACUACAGCUUGACAUUGGCGUUUGGAACGUCUUGUGUAGGAUAGGUGGGAGACUGGGAAGCUGUCACGCUAGUGAUGGUGGAGUCAUUGGUGAAAUACCACUCUGGUCGUUUUGAACGUCUAACUCUGGUCCGUGAUCCGGAUCGGGGGCAGUGUCUGGUGGGUAGUUUAACUGGGGCGGUUGCCUCCUAAAGAGUAACGGAGGCGCCCAAAGGUUCCCUCAGCCUGGUUGGCAAUCAGGUGUUGAGUGUAAGUGCACAAGGGAGUUUGACUGUGAGACUGACAGGUCGAGCAGGAGCGAAAGCUGGGACUAGUGAUCCGGCAUCUGCGUGUGGAAGCGGUGUCGCUCAACGGCUAAAAGGUACCCCGGGGAUAACAGGCUGAUCUUCCCCAAGAGUCCAUAUCGACGGGAUGGUUUGGCACCUCGAUGUCGGCUCGUCGCAUCCUC